UACGAAGGGGGCUAGCGUUGCUCGGAAUUACUGGGCGUAAAGCGUCCGUAGGCGGUUUUAAAAGUCUGUUGUUAAAGCCCACAGCUCAACUGUGGAACGGCAAUGGAAACUGUGAGACUAGAGAGUGGUAGGGGUAGAGGGAAUUCCUAGUGUAGCGGUGAAAUGCGUAGAUAUUAGGAAGAACACCAGUGGCGAAGGCGCUCUACUGGGCCAUUACUGACGCUGAUGGACGAAAGCUAGGGGAGCAAAAGGG
This 253-nucleotide ribosomal RNA is filed under the name uncultured bacterium. RNAcentral describes it as "partial 16S ribosomal RNA". It matches the Rfam family "Bacterial small subunit ribosomal RNA", at positions 524 to 776 of the family's 1533-position model. The record is from RNAcentral.